AUUGAACGCUGGCGGCAGGCCUAACACAUGCAAGUCGAGCGAGCGGCGGACGGGUGAGUAAUGUCUGGGAAACUGCCUGAUGGAGGGGGAUAACUACUGGAAACGGUAGCUAAUACCGCAUACCAUCAGAUGUGCCCAGGGGGGAUUAGCUAGUAGGUGGGGUAACGGCUCACCUAGGCGACGAUCCCUAGCUGGUCUGAGAGGAUGACCAGCCACACUGUAACGGAGACACGGUCCAGAUUCCUACGGGAGGCAGCAGUGGGGAAUAUUGCACAAUGGGCGCAGGCCUGAUGCAGCCAUGCCGCGUAUGUGAAGAAGGCCUUGGGGUUGUAAAGUACUUUCAGCGGGGAGGCGUUACCCGCAGAAGAAGCACCGGCUAACUCCGUGCCAGCAGCCGCGGUAAUAC
RNAcentral lists this ribosomal RNA (406 nucleotides) under uncultured bacterium. RNAcentral's name for it is "partial 16S ribosomal RNA". It matches the Rfam family "Bacterial small subunit ribosomal RNA", at positions 30 to 526 of the family's 1533-position model. The record is from RNAcentral.